CUUUUCUCUGCCCUUAGGAAGCUCAAGAGCCAAACUGGCUGGAGCAGAAAACAUAAAGGCCAAUGGCUUACUUUUGUACUCCUGCUCUCUUCUUACUGGGCUUUUAUUCUCUCUUAUGGAUUACUGUAUUAUUUAAGAUGCUUUUAAAUGACCCUGAAUCAUUUUGGGAAAUGUGGUAUUGGGGGGUAUAAUAAGAUAUAAUAGUUUCUUCACUAUUUGUACUAACAAUUGACUCUUUCAGAUAUUGUAUUGACCCAGCUACAAGGUGAAAUUACCUCUUUUAACAGAAGUCAAUGGAAGCACAUGCCAACCAGCUCCAUGUCACAUUGUGCAAUGGAUAUCACUGCGCAAACUCCAUAAAGGAGGGAGUCAUUACUACCACAGGACUUAAUAUAUUUGCCAAGAAUAUAAUUAUUUAAGGCCUGAAGACCCUCAAAAAUACACGUAUUUUAGUCUGGAAUAUUCACUUGAACUACAAGACUUGCUUACCUUUAAGAAACAGAAUCUACUUGGACUCAAGUGCUUAGGAACAUGGGGUAUGUCUUUUCUUGAAAUCAAAGUAAUGCAUCUCAACCUACCUGAAUGACACAUCAAUGGUGUUAACUGGCAUACUGGGUGAGUUGUGUCACUAUCUGGAAAAGUUAGUGACUGGAGUUCUGAAAGAUUUUAUAUUUUCAGUGAAAUCAUAACCUUUAGCAUAAAAAUUGUAUUCCAAUUCCAGUUUUAUCAUAAUUAAAGAUAAUCAUCAAGCCCAAGUCUCUCAUUUGAAAUGAAUAAAUCUUGUGAAAACAUUUCA
RNAcentral lists this long non-coding RNA (796 nucleotides) under Marmota monax (woodchuck). The record is from RNAcentral. Lineage: Eukaryota; Metazoa; Chordata; Mammalia; Rodentia; Sciuridae.